RNAcentral lists this ribosomal RNA (506 nucleotides) under uncultured bacterium. RNAcentral describes it as "partial 16S ribosomal RNA". It matches the Rfam family "Bacterial small subunit ribosomal RNA", at positions 899 to 1397 of the family's 1533-position model. The record is from RNAcentral.
ACUCAAAUGAAUUGACGGGGGCUCACACAAGCGGUGGAGCAUGUGGCUUAAUUCGAAGCAACGCGAAGAACCUUAUCCUGGGCUUGACAUGCACGGAUUAACUCCCUGAAAGGGGAGCCACACCCUCUGGGUGGAACGUGCACAGGUGCUGCAUGGCUGUCGUCAGCUCGUGCUGUGAAGUGUUGGGUUAAGUCCCUUAACGAGCGAAACCCUUGUCGCUAGUUGCCAGCGGGUCAUGCCGGGGACUCUAGCGAGACUGCCGGUGUCAAACCGGAGGAAGGUGGGGAUGACGUCAAGUCCUCAUGGCCUUUAUGCCCAGGGCUGCACACGUGCUACAAUGGCGACCACAGAGCGAAGCAAUGCCGCGAGGCGGAGCAAAUCGCACAAAAGUCGCCCCAGUUCGGAUUGGAGUCUGCAACCCGACUCCAUGAAGUUGGAAUCGCUAGUAAUCGCGUAUCAGCUACGACGCGGUGAAUACGUUCCUGAGCCUUGCACACACCGCCCGU